AGGCCAGUGUUGAUCAGUGGCUGUCCAGGCCUUUCAGAGCCACUCACACACCAGCAGCACAAUGAUGAUGUCACUGACUCUACUGCUGGCCACCCUGGGGCUCCUUGUUCAGGGUUCAUCAGCAGAAAUCAUCCUGACUCAGACUCCUAAAGCUCAGUCUGUUGUUCCAGGACAGACUGUCUCUAUCAGAUGUAAAGCCAGUUCAGGUGUUAGUGAUGACAUUGCGUGGUAUCCAGGACCAAAUCUGCUGAUUCAUGAUGCUACCUCCCGUCAGUCUGGAGUUUCUGGUCGUUUCACUGGGAGUCAGUCUGGAGCUGACUUCACUCUGACCAUCAGUGGAGUUCAGGCUGAAGAUGCAGGAGUUUAUCACUGUCAGCAGCAUCACAACUACCCGUGGACUUUUGGUGGAGGAACCAGACUGAAUGUUGGAAGUGAUACCCGCCCCGCCCUGACAGUGUUGGGUCCCUCCAGUGAGGAGCUGAAACAGGGGAAGGCUACGCUCAUGUGUCUGGCCAACAAGGGCUUCCCCUCAGACUGGAGUCUGUCCUGGAAGGUGGAUGGCAGUGGCAGCAUCAGCUGGGAGGAGAGCAGGAGCCCUGUGGUGCAGGAGAAUGACGGCCUCUACAGCUGGAGCAGCACCCUGAGGCUCCCUGCAGACCGCUGGGUGAAGGUGGGCUCUGUGACCUGUGAGGCCACCCAGGGCUCCCACACUCUGGUCUCAGAGCCACUGAGGAGAGACCAGUGUUCCCAGUCCUGACCUGACUAACUGUGACUUUCAUGCUGGUCUUACUUUCAGUCUGCACUCUGUAGCUUUAAAAAAAAAAUCGAAUUUCUUCUCUCAUUUUUCAUUGCUUUGUUUGGUUUUAAAAGUUUUAAAGAAUAAAAAAAUAAACUAAAUAAGAACCAA
Oreochromis niloticus (Nile tilapia) is the source of this 907-nucleotide non-coding RNA. Lineage: Eukaryota; Metazoa; Chordata; Actinopteri; Cichliformes; Cichlidae. The record is from the annotation of a RefSeq genome assembly.